GACGAACGCUGGCGGCGCACCUAAGACAUGCAAGUCGAACGGUCUUCUUCUCUUCGGGGAAGGGGAUAGUGGCGGACGGGUGAGUAACACGUAAGGGACCUGCCCUAGAGUGGGGGAUAGCCUGGGGAAACCGAGGGUAAGCCCGCGUACGGCCGAUCGCAUAGGGGCGAUCGGGGAAAUCGGCCCGUAAGGGCGGAGCUCUGGGAGGGCCUUGCGGCGGAUUAGCUAGUUGGGGGGGUAGUGGCCCACCAAGGCGACGAUCCGUAGCUGGUCUGAG
Molecule: ribosomal RNA, 277 nt
Filed under: uncultured bacterium
Lineage: Bacteria
Description: partial 16S ribosomal RNA
Rfam family: Bacterial small subunit ribosomal RNA
Source: RNAcentral